AAGACUAUAGACCUGCGGAGUACCUGCGGAAGGAUCAUUAUUGAAUACAACUUGGUCUGGGUUGUUGCUGGUUUCUAUGAAACAGGUGCACAUCCAUUCCAUUUGUUAAAAAAACCCCUCCUUGUGCACCUUGUGUAGACCUCUUGGAUGAACAGAUCGUAUCAAAGUUUAAACAAUUCUUUGGUGAGAUGGCAAUUGCUGUGUGGUUUUAAAAGCUCAGCUGUUCAGCCUGUGUUCAAA
Molecule: unclassified non-coding RNA, 240 nt
Filed under: soil metagenome
Description: partial contains 5.8S ribosomal RNA, internal transcribed spacer 2, and large subunit ribosomal RNA
Source: RNAcentral